UACGUAGGGUGCAAGCGUUAAUCGGAAUUACUGGGCGUAAAGCGUGCGCAGGCGGUUAUGCAAGACAGAUGUGAAAUCCCCGGGCUCAACCUGGGAACUGCAUUUGUGACUGCAUGGCUAGAGUACGGUAGAGGGGGAUGGAAUUCCGCGUGUAGCAGUGAAAUGCGCAGAUAUGCGGAGGAACACCGAUGGCGAAGGCAAUCCCCUGGACCUGUACUGACGCUCAUGCACGAAAGCGUGGGGAGCAAACAGG
RNAcentral lists this ribosomal RNA (253 nucleotides) under uncultured bacterium. Its description in RNAcentral is "partial 16S ribosomal RNA". It matches the Rfam family "Bacterial small subunit ribosomal RNA", at positions 524 to 776 of the family's 1533-position model. The record is from RNAcentral.